UACGUAGGGGGCAAGCGUUUGUCCGGAUUUAUUGGGCGUAAAGAGCGUGUAGGCGGCCAGGUAGGUCCGCUGUGAAAACUCGAGGCUUAACCUCGAGAUGUCGGCUGGAAACCAUCUGGCUAGAGUCCGGAAGAGGAGAGUGGAAUUCCUGGAUGUAGCGGUGAAAUGCGCAGAUAUCAGGAAGAACACCCGUGGCGGAAGGCGGCUCUCUGGGACGGUA
Molecule: ribosomal RNA, 220 nt
Filed under: uncultured bacterium
Lineage: Bacteria
Description: partial 16S ribosomal RNA
Rfam family: Bacterial small subunit ribosomal RNA
Source: RNAcentral